Molecule: long non-coding RNA, 2701 nt
Filed under: Capsicum annuum
Lineage: Eukaryota; Viridiplantae; Streptophyta; Magnoliopsida; Solanales; Solanaceae
Description: long non-coding RNA (CANN_LNC021051)
Source: RNAcentral
CUGAAUGGAUCUUCAUCACAAGAUUAGCUAUCCUGAAUAGAUUUCACAGUAAGGAUUGACACAGUUAAAUAAGCUGAAUGAAUGCAUCAAUGCUCCACCAAAAAGUUGUACACUGUAAUUAGUGGUGAUUUCCAGAAAGUUCCCUGGAGCAGGAUCAUUUGUAAAUACACGCGGGCAGCUGAAUGGAUCUUCAUCACAAGAAUAGCUAUUUUGAAUAGAUUGCACAGUAAUGAUGGACAUAGUGCAAGAAGUUGAAUGAAUGCAUUGUAAUGAGGGCUGAUUUUGAAAAAGUUCCUUGGAGCAAUAUCAUUUGUAACUACACGCGGACAGUUGAAUAGAUCUUUAUCACAAGAUUAGCUAUCCUGAAUAGAUUGCACAGUAAGGAUGGACACAGUGCAUGAAGCUGAAUGAAUGCAUUAGUGCUCCACCAAAAAGCUGUACAUUGUAAUGAGGGCUGAUUUCCAGAAAGUUCCUUGGAGCAGUAUCAUUUGUAACUACACGCGGGAAGCUGAAUGGAUCUUCAUCAAAGAUUAGCUAUCCUGAAUAGAUUACAUAGUAAUGAUGGACACAGUGCAAGAAGCUGAAUGAAUGUAUCAACGCUCCACCAAAAAGCUGUACAUUGUAAUGAGGGGUGAUUUCCAGAAAGUUCCUUUGAGUAGGAUCAUUUGUAAAUACACGCGGGCAGCUGAAUAUAUCUUCAUCACAAGAUUAGCUAUCCUGAAAAGAUUGCACAGUUAGGAUGGACACAGUGAAAGAAGCUGAGUGAAUACAUCAAUACUCCAUCAAAAAGCUGUACAUUAUAAUGAGGGGUGAUUUCCAGAAAGGUCCUUGGAGAAGGAUCAUUUGUAAAUACACGCGGGCAGCUGAAUGGAUCUUCAUCACGAGAUUAGCUAUCUUGAAUAGAUUGCAAAGUAAAGAUGGACACAGUGCAAGAAGCUGAAUGAAUGCAUCAAUACUCCAUCAAAAAGCUGUACAUUGUAAUGAGGGCUGAUUUCCAGAAAGUUCCUUGGAGCAGUAUCAUUUGAAACUACGCGCGGAUAGCUGAAUGGAUCUUCAUCACAAGAUUAGCUAUCUUGAAUAGAUUGCACAGUAAGGAUGGACACAGUGCAAGAAGAUGAAUGAAUGCAUCAAUGCUCCACCAAAAAGCUGUAUAUUGUAAUGAGGGGUGAUUUCCAGAAAGUUCCUUGGAGCAGGAUCAUUUGUAAAUACACGCGGGCAGCUGAAUGGAUCUUCAUCACAAGAUUAGCUAUCUUGAAUAAAUUGCACAGUAAGGAUGGACACAGUGCAAGAAGCUGAAUGAAUGCAUCAAUACUCCAUCAAAAAGCUGUACAUUGUAAUGACGGCUGAUUUCUAGAAAGUUCCUAGGAGCAGUAUCAUUUGUAACUACACGCGGACAGCUGAGUGGAUCUUCAUCACAAGAUUAGCGAUCCUGAAUAGAUUGCACAGUAAGGACGUACACAGUGCAAGAAGCUGAAUGAAUGCAUCAAUGCUCCAUCAAAAAGCUGUACAUUGUAAUGAGGGGUGAUUUCCACAAAGUUCCUUGGAGCAGGAUCAUUUGUAACUAUACGAGGGCAACUGAAUGGAUCUUCAUCUCAAAAUCUGCUAUCCUGAAUAGAUUGCACAGUAAGGAUGGGCUAAUGAAGCAGGGCAUCACAGAUAACCAACUGCGGUCCUAUGCGGUGGAGGCAUUGAAUCUAGUGAACAUCUCUUCUUUAUUUGCGAUUACUUGAAACUCAAUAUGGACAGAACUCUUAAAUUGGCAAGGUGUCACAGAGUAGCUACAACAUGGCAAGAGGAGCUGGACUGGGCCAACGAAAUGCACGAUGGAAAGGACCAGCAACAACUAUAUUCAGAAUGAGCAUUGCAACUGUAGUUUACAACGUUUGGAUAGAGAGGAAUCAGAGGAAAUUCCAAGCCAAGUCCAUUGAUCCACGCGUGAUAACCAGAAGAGUAGUGUAGGAGAUCUUUCAGAGGGUCUUUGAAGCCUCAGCACAAUAACAAAUUAGUAGAUGUCAACUACUAUCCUUAGUGGUAUUUUGUUUUUCCAAUCAUUAUUGCCUUUAACGUUAUGGUUAAUAGUUGGCUAACUGAUUGGUUGCUAUGCCAAUGCAGUUUGGAUUUGUACGGAACGUUAGCACUUUUUGAAAAAGAAAAGUAGCUUAUCUUAGGAAGAAGAAAAAAUCAAUGAUUCUACAGAACAGAGAGAUCAUAUCUGCAGUUAAAUCUUCCUAUGAUAAUUAGCAAAAAUGAAAUUUUACUAGAAUAAACUGGAGAACCAACUACCAUUUAUUUUUAGUACCGUCUUUGCAUCCAGUUGACCACCUGUACACCUUUCAUCCUAGAUUCCUUCCGUGUAUGAUUAUCACUCUCUUCUGUGUCUCCAUGGGACCUGAUGAAUUUCCAGAAUAAUUUGAUGAUAUUUCUAUAAAAUGUUGACAUGAAGGUUGAGCUGCGUCAGCAAGAGGAUUAAGAGAAGUCCUGGAAUCACUAAGCUCUUUUUCACUUUCCUCAUCCAUUUGAAUCUUGCCAGCACUGACUAUAUGCCGACAAGCAUAUCACGACAUAAAAGACUUGGAAGUGUUCGCCAUUCCUAUUGAGUGUUGUUAUAGCCAUCCACUAUAUUUAUCUUCGAUAUAAAGAAUAUUUGUCCUGAAGUACACCUAGACAAUACAUCACACAUACGUGUAUAACUGAUAGAGAA